GGCUACGUAGCUCAGCUGGUUAGAGCACAUCACUCAUAAUGAUGGGGUCACAGGUUCGAACCCGUCGUAGCCACCA
RNAcentral lists this transfer RNA (76 nucleotides) under Klebsiella pneumoniae. Its description in RNAcentral is "tRNA-Met". It matches the Rfam family "tRNA". Rfam says of the family: Transfer RNA (tRNA) molecules are approximately 80 nucleotides in length. Their secondary structure includes four short double-helical elements and three loops (D, anti-codon, and T loops). The record is from RNAcentral. Lineage: Bacteria; Pseudomonadati; Pseudomonadota; Gammaproteobacteria; Enterobacterales; Enterobacteriaceae.